GUGCUCGCUUCGGCAGCACAUAUGCUAAAAUUGGAAUGAUACAGAGAUCAGCGUGGCCACUGCGCAAGGAUGACACGCAAAUUCGUGAAGUGUUCCAUAUUAAA
Molecule: small nuclear RNA, 104 nt
Filed under: Catagonus wagneri (Chacoan peccary)
Lineage: Eukaryota; Metazoa; Chordata; Mammalia; Artiodactyla; Tayassuidae
Source: RNAcentral